Molecule: ribosomal RNA, 253 nt
Filed under: uncultured bacterium
Lineage: Bacteria
Description: partial 16S ribosomal RNA
Rfam family: Bacterial small subunit ribosomal RNA
Source: RNAcentral
UACGGAGGGUGCAAGCGUUAUCCGGAUUUACUGGGUUUAAAGGGUGCGUAGGUGGGUUGGGAAGUCAGUGGUGAAAUACUUUCGCUUAACGAAGGAACUGCCAUUGAUACUCUCAAUCUUGAAUGCAGUGGAGGCGGGCGGAAUGUGUCAUGUAGCGGUGAAAUGCUUAGAUAUGACACAGAACACCCAUCGCGAAGGCAGCUCGCUACACUGCGAUUGACACUGAGGCACGAAAGCGUGGGGAUCAAACAGG